GACGAACGCUGGCGGCGCGCCUAACACAUGCAAGUCGAACGGAAAGGCCUGCUUUCCCUUGUGGAUUGCGGGUACUCGAGUGGCGAACGGGUGAGUAACACGUGAGUGAUCUGCCCCCAACUUGGGUAUAAGCCUGGGAAACUGGGUCUAAUUCCCGAUAGGACUGCAGGGUGGUGCCUGUGGUGGAAAACGAUUUUCUAGUGGCUGGGGAUGAGCUCGCGGCCUAUCAGCUUGUUGGUGGGGUAAUGGCCUACCAAGGCGGCGACGGGUAGCCGGCCUGAGAGGGUGGACGGCCACAUUGGGACUGAGAUACGGCCCAGACUCCUACGGGAGGCAGCAGUGGGGAAUAUUGCACAAUGGGCGGAAGCCUGAUGCAGCGACGCCGCGUGGGGGAUGACGGCCUUCGGGUUGUAAACUCCUUUCGACCGCGAGGAAGCCACCUGGUUGGAAGGGUGGUGACGGUAGUGGUAGAAGAAGCACCGGCUAACUACGUG
This 494-nucleotide ribosomal RNA is filed under the name uncultured bacterium. RNAcentral's name for it is "partial 16S ribosomal RNA". It matches the Rfam family "Bacterial small subunit ribosomal RNA", at positions 28 to 507 of the family's 1533-position model. The record is from RNAcentral.